RNAcentral lists this ribosomal RNA (253 nucleotides) under uncultured bacterium. RNAcentral describes it as "partial 16S ribosomal RNA". It matches the Rfam family "Bacterial small subunit ribosomal RNA", at positions 524 to 776 of the family's 1533-position model. The record is from RNAcentral.
UACGUAGGGCGCAAGCGUUGUCCGGAAUUAUUGGGCGUAAAGAGCUCGUAGGCGGCUUGUCACGUCGGGUGUGAAAGCCCGGGGCUUAACCCCGGGUCUGGAUUCGAUACUGCCGUGCUUGAGGACUGGAGAGGAGACUGGAAUUUACGGUGUAGCGGUGAAAUGCGUAGAUAUCGUAAGGAAGACCAGUGGCGAAGGCGGGUCUCUGGGCCGAUACUGACGCUGAGGAGCGAAAGCGUGGGGAGCGAACAGG